This is a long non-coding RNA of Mauremys reevesii (Reeves's turtle), 1138 nucleotides long. RefSeq lists it as uncharacterized. NCBI's taxonomy places the organism in Eukaryota, Metazoa, Chordata, Testudines, Geoemydidae. The record is from RefSeq and is a predicted model, not a curated record. The transcript is spliced from 4 exons.
UUCUUGUGCUGUCUCCCUUCAUAGGACACGGAUAGGAGUGCUAGGUGUGCAUCCCCACAGGCUAGAUCUUGGGAGCUAUGAAGAAAUAGGAGGAGAUGAAAAUCAUGCGGGGCAGUGGGCGCUAGAGUAGAGCAGUGUCUGUGGAUGUUGACUCAGUCUCUGUUCAUCGAGUCGAGCGGAUGUAGAUGGGAUGGGAGAGGGAGGCAGGGAUGAGGGCAAGAUUAAAUGCACCAGUAGUGCUGUGUGUUGUGAUGGUACUUACUUGACUUUAUUAGUUUGCAGAGGAAUCAUCCAGGAGCCCUCGCUGGACGAGAAUAUGCAGAAGUGGCCGUGAGCAGCCUUGACAUCCUUAUAAGGAGACCUCAACAGUCCUCAGGUUUCUGCCUUCUGCCUAACUGGCUUAGCAAGAGAAAAGAAGUCACAGGCCAGAGUCUACUACCCUCAUGCAAUGGAAUGGGAGCGAGAGCGAUGAGUCUGCAAGCGUUGUUGAUGCGACGCAGAAGGCGUCCAUCUGGGAGCGGAACCGCCACCACUCUCAAUGAGAUAAGUGUCUUCUUUGGUGAUUGCUCUGCUCAAAGCCCAUCUUGCUCCCGGUAGGGAUGCCCCAUUAGCUGGGGCUCGGUUUGUAAGAAAAGGUUACUGAUUAGUUGCGGUUACAAGGGAGACGAUGUCCCCAUUUUCAGGGGCUGCUCAUGUCUCUGGCCAGGACCAGUGUGUCCUCUGCAGCAUAUUAGAUCCAGGGGGAUGACUCCAGCUGAUCCAUUUCCAGAGGAAUUUCCCAGGAGCCGUAGCCGGAGGAGAGGUUGGCAGAUGUGGGCAUGAGGAAACUGAACAUCCUUCUGAGCAGACACGAACAGUCCUUGGCUUUCUGCUUCCCACAUAACUGGCUUACCAAGGAAAAAGAAGUCACACGUCGGAGUCUACUGCCCUCAUGUGAUGGACAGUGAGUGAGAGCAGCGAGCCUGUGAGCAUUGUUCAUGCCAGGCAAGAGCCGUCCAUCUGGGAACUGAGCAGAGGCCACUGUCACUGAGAUAAGUGUCUGGUUUGGUGAUUGCUCUGCUCACAGCUCAACUCCUGGUAGGGACACCCCUUAGCAAGGUCUGGGUUUGUAAGAAAAGGUUCCUAACUAGUGGUUAUG